UACGAGGGGGGCAAAUGUUGUUCGGAAUCACUGGGCGUAAAGGGAGCGUAGGCGGUUUCUAAGUCAGGUGUUUAAUCCCGGGGCCCAACCCCGGACAGGCACUUGAAACUGGGAAUCUUGAAUAGUGGAGAGGUCAGUGGAAUUGGGGGUGUAGCGGUGGAAUGCGUAGAGAUCCCCAAGAACACCAGUUGCGAAGGCGGCUGACUGGACACAUAUUGACGCUGAGGCUCGAAAGCAUGGGGAGCAAACAGG
This 252-nucleotide ribosomal RNA is filed under the name uncultured bacterium. Its description in RNAcentral is "partial 16S ribosomal RNA". It matches the Rfam family "Bacterial small subunit ribosomal RNA", at positions 524 to 776 of the family's 1533-position model. The record is from RNAcentral.